Molecule: long non-coding RNA, 496 nt
Organism: Centruroides sculpturatus (bark scorpion)
Lineage: Eukaryota; Metazoa; Arthropoda; Arachnida; Scorpiones; Buthidae
Exons: 3
Source: RefSeq, a predicted model, not a curated record
GAGAACAAAGAUUCCGUAGUGUGUUUAAUCUGUUUAAUAUAUGCUCAGAAUUACUUUGUUAUAUCGUGUCGUCGGUUAUACCGUGCUUUUCUUUAUAUUUGAACACGUGCUAUAUAACUAGAUGCUCUUGUAUUUAAUGUCAAAAUAUAAAAUUGAUAAUUUAUUUAUGAGUUAAAUUAUACAGUAGUUGUUAAUAAAUUACUUUUUACGUUUGCAGUAUCCAAAUGCAAGAAGUUGUGGAAGAAUCUCUGCGAUCAGUUCAGAGCUAUCCACAACAGCUUGCCGAGAAGCGGAAGUGGCUUAGAAGCCACAAAGCCAAAAUGGAUAUUCUAUCCACAAUUACAGUUUUUAGCUGAUGUGGUAGAAGCUAGAGUAACACAUUCAAAUGUUGUAGAAAAUGAAACAAAUGAAAAUAAUGAAAAUAUACAACUAACUGCAUCAGAAAUUUUAGAAAAUAUGACUUGUUCUGAAUCGGCUUUAUGUGAUGUGAAUAUUG